UCACCUACUUUUGACUUCUCUUUUGAAACCACCGAACUCAACUUACACUACACCCACUUCUCUCUAACAAAAUUUAUUACAUAUUAAAACUGAACUCUACUUCCUCCUUAAUAGGUUAGGGUUACCUCCAAAACAAAACAUUCAAAAAACCCCCUUCUCCUCACAAUGCACACGCUCUCAAUCUUCCCUAUCAUCGUCGAUAAUGUGAGUUAUCUCCAUCUCCUCUCUUUCCCUCUCACCCCUCUUCUCAUCUUCCUCUCUAUCUUCUUCUUCUACAUCAUUGCUUUCUCCUCUGUUUCAAUAUACUCUUUGCAACUCUGUUUUCCCCAUUCU
RNAcentral lists this long non-coding RNA (333 nucleotides) under Ananas comosus (pineapple). Its description in RNAcentral is "long non-coding RNA (ACOM_LNC000532)". The record is from RNAcentral. Lineage: Eukaryota; Viridiplantae; Streptophyta; Magnoliopsida; Poales; Bromeliaceae.